This 282-nucleotide long non-coding RNA is filed under the name Manihot esculenta (cassava). RNAcentral describes it as "long non-coding RNA (MESC_LNC002604)". The record is from RNAcentral. Lineage: Eukaryota; Viridiplantae; Streptophyta; Magnoliopsida; Malpighiales; Euphorbiaceae.
UUCGGACGGCGGACACGUUUAGGAGGGCGGGGAAAAUAGGACAAAGAAAAGAGAUGGGUAAGAUUUGACUAACGUUUGCUUACAGAAUACGUUUGGGAGCUCAAAGAGGGAAAUUAAAAAAGUUUUGUCGCGUUGUGAAAAGUCGCUAGCGUCCGUUACGAUCCUCGUUAUGGGCACGUAUCUCAAAGCUUUGACUGUGGGUCUCUAUUAUACUAUCGGUCCAAUUAUACGUCUCUGCGAGUCUGUUAAUGGUGUCCUUUUUCCAGAGUUUUACCUUGAUUG